Molecule: ribosomal RNA, 462 nt
Filed under: uncultured bacterium
Lineage: Bacteria
Description: partial 16S ribosomal RNA
Rfam family: Bacterial small subunit ribosomal RNA
Source: RNAcentral
ACGAACGCUGGCGGCGUGCUUAACACAUGCCAGUCGAACGGAAAGGCCUUUUCGGAGGUACUCGAGUGGCGAACGGGUGAGUAACACGUGGGUGAUCUGCCCUGCACUCUGGGAUAAGCCUGGGAAACUGGGUCUAAUACCGGAUAGGACCGCACUUUAGUGUGUGUGGUGGAAAGUUUUUUCGGUGUAGGAUGAGCCCGCGGCCUAUCAGCUUGUUGGUGGGGUAAUGGCCUACCAAGGCGGCGACGGGUAGCCGGACUGAGAGGUUGGUCGGCCACAUUGGGACUGAGGGACGGCCCAGACGCCGACGGGAGGCAGCAGUGGGGAAUAUUGCACAAUGGGCGCAAGCCGGAUGCAGCGACGCCGCGUGGGGGAUGACGGCCUUCGGGUUGUAAAAGCCUUUCGCCAGGGACGAAGCGUUUUGUGACGGUACCUGGAGAAGAAGCACCGGCUAACUACGUG